UACGGGGGGGGCAAGCGUUGUUCGGAAUUACUGUGCGUAAAGGGCUCGUAGGUGGCCAACUAAGUCAGACGUGAAAUCCCUCGGCUUAACCGGGGAACUGCGUCUGAUACUGGAUGGCUUGAGUUUGGGAGAGGGACGCGGAAUUCCAGGUGUAGCGGUGAAAUGCGUAGAUAUCUGGAGGAACACCGGUGGCGAAGGCGGCGUCCUGGACCAACACUGACACUGAUGAGCGAAAGCCAGGGGAGCAAACGGG
Molecule: ribosomal RNA, 253 nt
Filed under: uncultured bacterium
Lineage: Bacteria
Description: partial 16S ribosomal RNA
Rfam family: Bacterial small subunit ribosomal RNA
Source: RNAcentral